UUUAUUGGAGAGUUUGAUCCUGGCUCAGGAUGAACGCUGGCGGCGUGCCUAAUACAUGCAAGUCGAGCGAACGGAUUAAGAGCUUGCUCUUAUGAAGUUAGCGGCGGACGGGUGAGUAACACGUGGGUAACCUGCCCAUAAGACUGGGAUAACUCCGGGAAACCGGGGCUAAUACCGGAUAACAUUUUGAACCGCAUGGUUCGAAAUUGAAAGG
Molecule: ribosomal RNA, 214 nt
Filed under: Bacillus paranthracis
Lineage: Bacteria; Bacillati; Bacillota; Bacilli; Caryophanales; Bacillaceae
Description: partial 16S ribosomal RNA
Rfam family: Bacterial small subunit ribosomal RNA
Source: RNAcentral